UCCCUGGUGGUCUAGUGGCUAGGAUUUGGCGUUUUCACCGCUGUGGCCCCGGGUUCAAUUCCCAGUCAGGAAU
Molecule: transfer RNA, 73 nt
Filed under: Pongo abelii (Sumatran orangutan)
Lineage: Eukaryota; Metazoa; Chordata; Mammalia; Primates; Hominidae
Rfam family: tRNA
About the family: Transfer RNA (tRNA) molecules are approximately 80 nucleotides in length. Their secondary structure includes four short double-helical elements and three loops (D, anti-codon, and T loops).
Source: Rfam by way of RNAcentral